GGGUCUCUUCGGAGGCCAGCGGCGGACGGGUGAGGAACACGUGGGUAAUCUGCCUUUCAGGCCGGAAUAACGCCCGGAAACGGGCGCUAAUGCCGGAUACGCCCGCGAGGAGGCAUCUUCUUGCGGGGGAAGGCCCAAUUGGGCCGCUGAGAGAGGAGCCCGCGGCGCAUUAGCUAGUUGGCGGGGUAACGGCCCACCAAGGCGACGAUGCGUAGCCGACCUGAGAGGGUGACCGGCCACACUGGGACUGAGACACGGCCCAGACUCCUACGGGAGGCAGCAGUAGGGAAUCUUCCGCAAUGGGCGCAAGCCUGACGGAGCAACGCCGCGUGAGCGAAGAAGGCCUUCGGGUUGUAAAGCUCUGUUGCUCGGGGAGAGCGGCAUGGGGGAUGGAAAGCCCCAUGCGAGACGGUACCGAGUGAGGAAGCCCCGGCUAACUACGUGCCAGCAGCCGCGGUAAAACGUAGGGGGCGAGCGUUGUCCGGAAUCACUGGGCGUAAAGGGUGCGUAGGCGGUCGAGCAAGUCUGGAGUGAAAGUCCAUGGCUCAACCAUGGGAUGGCUUUGGAAACUGCUUGACUUGAGUGCUGGAGAGGCAAGGGGAAUUCCACGUGUAGCGGUGAAAUGCGUAGAGAUGUGGAGGAAUACCAGUGGCGAAGGCGCCUUGCUGGACAGUGACUGACGCUGAGGCACGAA
RNAcentral lists this ribosomal RNA (694 nucleotides) under Alicyclobacillus acidocaldarius. RNAcentral's name for it is "bacterial SSU rRNA". It matches the Rfam family "Bacterial small subunit ribosomal RNA", at positions 68 to 757 of the family's 1533-position model. Lineage: Bacteria; Bacillati; Bacillota; Bacilli; Caryophanales; Alicyclobacillaceae. The record is from RNAcentral.